Molecule: transfer RNA, 93 nt
Filed under: Clostridia bacterium
Lineage: Bacteria; Bacillati; Bacillota; Clostridia
Description: tRNA-Ser
Rfam family: tRNA
About the family: Transfer RNA (tRNA) molecules are approximately 80 nucleotides in length. Their secondary structure includes four short double-helical elements and three loops (D, anti-codon, and T loops).
Source: RNAcentral
GGAGAAGUACUCAAGUGGCCGAAGAGGCCUCCCUGCUAAGGAGGUAGACCGGGCUUUUCCGGUGCGAGAGUUCAAAUCUCUCCUUCUCCGCCA